RNAcentral lists this ribosomal RNA (537 nucleotides) under uncultured bacterium. RNAcentral describes it as "bacterial SSU rRNA". It matches the Rfam family "Bacterial small subunit ribosomal RNA", at positions 102 to 674 of the family's 1533-position model. The record is from RNAcentral.
ACGGGUGAGUAACGCGUGGGAACGUACCCUUCAGUUCGGAAUAACCCAGGGAAACUUGGGCUAAUACCGGAUACGUGCGAGAGCAGAAAGAUUUAUCGCUGAAGGAUCGGCCCGCGUCCGAUUAGCUAGUUGGUGAGGUAAUGGCUCACCAAGGCGACGAUCGGUAGCUGGUCUGAGAGGAUGAUCAGCCACACUGGGACUGAGACACGGCCCAGACUCCUACGGGAGGCAGCAGUGGGGAAUAUUGGACAAUGGGCGCAAGCCUGAUCCAGCCAUGCCGCGUGAGUGAUGAAGGCCCUAGGGUUGUAAAGCUCUUUCGCCAGGGACGAUAAUGACGGUACCUGGAUAAGAAGCCCCGGCUAACUUCGUGCCAGCAGCCGCGGUAAUACGAAGGGGGCUAGCGUUGUUCGGAAUCACUGGGCGUAAAGCGCACGUAGGCGGAUCUUUAAGUCAGGGGUGAAAUCCCGAGGCUCAACCUCGGAACUGCCUUUGAUACUGGAGGUCUCGAGUCCGGGAGAGGUGAGUGGAACUGCGAGU